UACCUUUGUGCCCGAAUUGGUUUGCCAAGGCCCAGUGCUAGGCGAUUAAAAGGGAACGGGGUGCAACUCUCCGACUGUCCCGCAGCUGUAAGUUCUUUACGGUUUUCUUCCAGAGGCGGCAUCUAAAAAGCCACUAAACACGCUGUGUCAGCGCAGGCAUGCUUUUUAAAUAACGCUGUUACAUAAGCCACUGUUUCGGUUCAAUCGCAUGGUUUGGCGAACCGAAUUGGGAAGGCGAAGAGAAUUAGAACAAAGUCAGAAGACCUGCCUGUUCGUCAAAAGUGCC
This 286-nucleotide non-coding RNA is filed under the name Prevotella sp. Lineage: Bacteria; Pseudomonadati; Bacteroidota; Bacteroidia; Bacteroidales; Prevotellaceae. RNAcentral also lists the same sequence under 1 other name. The record is from RNAcentral.